This 20-nucleotide small nuclear RNA is filed under the name Arabidopsis thaliana (thale cress). RNAcentral's name for it is "snRNA_13418". The record is from RNAcentral. Lineage: Eukaryota; Viridiplantae; Streptophyta; Magnoliopsida; Brassicales; Brassicaceae.
CAAUCGCUAACAACCGCUAC